AAUUAUUCAAAUACUAUCUCCUCUCAUUUUAGGGUUAGCGCCGCCUCUUUUCCUCGGUUCUCUAAAAUCCACCCUUCCCCUUUUCUCCUCCGGCUGUUUAGCGGCGGCGCCGAUUUUCUCCCUCUCAAUCACUCUCCAUCGUCUUCUCUCUCUCCCUCACACUCUAUUUUUCAACUCCCAUCUCUGUCGACCUCUGGUUUCGCAACACAUCCAUCACUGACGCCGCUACACGCGGCGUCGCCUUCCUCGUCGGCGACGACGAAUGCGCCGCCGCCUCCUUCAGCACAACUCGCAUCCAGCCGCUGCCGUCCGGGUUUCAAACGCCGGCGUCACCCAAGCUUGCAGAUCUCGGCCCCCUCCCUCGUCUGCAUCUUAAAUUCCACGAUUCUCCUUAUAAAUAUUUGUCUGCUUGUUAAUGUGGAUUUUUCUUGUCAGUGUGUGUGUGUGUUUACAUUAUUUUUGGAAUUCACAAUUUAAUAUGUCAAAAGCAGAGGUUUAACUGUACACGGAAUUAUAACUUUCCCUAUGAGCUCUUUGUGUUAAAACCCUGGCUAACAUAAAAAUCAAGAUAAUUAAGCUCUUCAGUUUCCUCCUUGAGAAAUUCAUUAUUUAGUAAUACAUUUAUUUGGAGUAUAAGGAAUCAUGUUUGUGAGCAAUGAAAUAGAACAAAGAAACAAGAACAAUUUAUCCCUUGAACGAGCUGAAUGCAGAAGCAUCUGAU
This 721-nucleotide long non-coding RNA is filed under the name Salvia miltiorrhiza (redroot sage). RNAcentral describes it as "long non-coding RNA (SMIL_LNC007753)". Lineage: Eukaryota; Viridiplantae; Streptophyta; Magnoliopsida; Lamiales; Lamiaceae. The record is from RNAcentral.